GAUGAAGAACGUAGCGAAAUGCGAUAUGUAAUGUGAAUUGCAGAAUUCAGUGAAUCAUCGAAUCUUUGAACGCACAUUGCGCCCGCCAGUAUUCUGGCGGGCAUGCCUGUUCGUGCGUCAUUUCAACCAUCAAGCCCCAGGCUUGUGUUGGGGACCUGCGGCUGCCGCAGGCCCUGAAAACCAGUGGCGGGCUCGCUGUCACACCGGGCGUAGUAGAUUUUAUCUCGCUCAGGGCGUGCUGCGGGUUCCGGCCGUUAAAAAGCCUUUUUUACCCAAGGUUGACCUCGGAUCAGGUAGGAAUACCCGCUGAACUUAAGCAUAUCAAUAAGCGGAGGA
RNAcentral lists this unclassified non-coding RNA (336 nucleotides) under soil metagenome. RNAcentral's name for it is "partial contains 5.8S ribosomal RNA, internal transcribed spacer 2, and large subunit ribosomal RNA". The stretch from base 1 to 120 matches the Rfam family "5.8S ribosomal RNA", at positions 35 to 154 of the family's 154-position model. The record is from RNAcentral.